This 735-nucleotide long non-coding RNA is filed under the name Elaeis guineensis (African oil palm). RNAcentral describes it as "long non-coding RNA (EGUI_LNC050875)". Lineage: Eukaryota; Viridiplantae; Streptophyta; Magnoliopsida; Arecales; Arecaceae. The record is from RNAcentral.
AUCGCCACGGUGACUUGCAAGCAACUCACUGCACUUAGGCACUGGACUACCUGAAUUUCUAAUUCAGUGAUGGAAGGCUGCUGGGUGUAGUCAAGUACUUGACUUGUCGGUGCGUGUGUCAAGAUGGGAUUGAUCACUUCAAUUUAGGAGCUGUGUACAGUCGUGUUUCAAUUUAGCAAAACCUUGGCCAUGGUAGUCCUUGUGAGGAGUCACAGGACUGUUUGAGUUGAGCACGAUUCGGAUGAUCUAAUCAGGGUUGACAGUUUAACCCUGAGUCGUCCUAAACACAAAGGUCAAAAGGAUGAAUUAUACAGUAACCAUAUUCACGUAGGUUCUGAGUAUUGCGAUUGUGACUAUUUAACCUAUCCGAUCAUCGGGUACCAUUGCUAGACAGUCACUUCGAUUAGUACAGAAACUGGUUCCUGUGCUACCGACUUAGGUUCGAACCUCCGGGGUCACACACAUUAGAGGUUCCUAUCUGAUCUGAUGGCUGAUGAAGAGUCCUAAUAUUCGUGGACUAUGAGUCUUAUGUGUCUGGGACUCUAUGAUCAAGAAUUAGGAUUCUCUGAUCAUGAGUCCCACACAUUUUGGGUACCGGGGUCAAGAGUCCCACUGGUUUGGGACUCUUCAAUCAGGAUUACAUAUCGAUGAAUUCUGAUGCCCGAUUACCCAUCAGAUUUGGACUCAAUAUUUAUGAGAGGUUUAAUUAGUGAUUUGAUCACUAAUUAACUCAAU